GACGAACGCUGGCGGCGUGCUUAACACAUGCAAGUCGAACGGAAAGGUUCUGCUUUUGCGGGGUGCUCGAGAGGAGAACGGAUGUGUAAAACGUGUGUAACCUGCUAUCGAUUUUGGGAAAAAUUCAGGAAACUGGGGAUAAUACCGGACAGGAGAUCCUGCGGAAUGGCGGGGGUUGGAAAGUUUCGGCGGUUGGGGAUGGACUUGGGGCUUAUCAGCUUGUUGGUGGGGUUGUGGAAUACCAUGGCUUUGAAGGGUAGCCGGCCGGAGAGGUUCACCGGCCACAUUGGUACUGGGAUACUGCCCAUACUCCUACGGGAGUGUGCAUGGUAGAGUAUUGCACAAUGGCCGGAUGCCUGAUGCAGCAUCGCCGCCUGCGUGAUGUCGUCCUUCGGGUUUUAAACCUAUUUCACCAGUGACGAAGCUUGAGUGACGGUAAUGGGUAAAGAAGCACCGGCUAACUACGUG
Molecule: ribosomal RNA, 468 nt
Filed under: uncultured bacterium
Lineage: Bacteria
Description: partial 16S ribosomal RNA
Rfam family: Bacterial small subunit ribosomal RNA
Source: RNAcentral